Non-coding RNA from Caenorhabditis elegans, 147 nucleotides. NCBI's taxonomy places the organism in Eukaryota, Metazoa, Nematoda, Chromadorea, Rhabditida, Rhabditidae. The record is from Ensembl.
CUCGCAGACGACCUAAAUAGGUACGGUUGGCACAAAGGCAGAAAUAUGGGCAGAAGGUGGGCAUAUAGGCAGGCACGUAUAGGAAGUAGACGUGAAUGUAGGCAUAUGGUAGACACAUACAUAGGUAGGAAGGUAGCCGUCAGGUCG